Molecule: ribosomal RNA, 433 nt
Filed under: uncultured bacterium
Lineage: Bacteria
Description: partial 16S ribosomal RNA
Rfam family: Bacterial small subunit ribosomal RNA
Source: RNAcentral
AACGAACGCUGGCGGCAUGCCUAACACAUGCAAGUCGAACGAGACCUUCGGUUCUAGUGGCGCACGGGUGCGUAACGCGUGGGAACCUGCCCUUAGGUUCGGAAUAACUCCCCGAAAGGGGUGCUAAUACCGGAUAAUGUCUUCGGACCAAAGAUUUAUCGCCUUUGGAUGGGCCCGCGUUGGAUUAGCUAGUUGGUAGGGUAAAAGCCUACCAAGGCGACGAUCCAUAGCUGGUCUGAGAGGAUGAUCAGCCACACUGGGACUGAGACACGGCCCAGACUCCUACGGGAGGCAGCAGUGGGGAAUAUUGGACAAUGGGCGAAAGCCUGAUCCAGCAAUGCCGCGUGAGUGAUGAAGGACUUAGGGUUGUAAAGCUCUUUUACCCGGGAUGAUAAUGACAGUACCGGGAGAAUAAGCUCCGGCUAACUCCGUG